UGAGGAAUAUUGGUCAAUGGCCGUAAGGCUGAACCAGCCAAGUAGCGUGCAGGAUGACGGCCCUAUGGGUUGUAAACUGCUUUUAAACGGGGAUAAAGUGAGCCACGUGUGGUUUAUUGCAGGUACCGUUUGAAUAAGGAACGGCUAAUUCCGUGCCAGCAGCCGCGGUAAUACGGAAGGUACGGGCGUUAUCCGGAUUUAUUGGGUUUAAAGGGAGCGUAGGCGGAGCGUCAAGCCAGCAGUGAAAUGUAGCGGCCCAACCACUGCACUGCUGUUGGAACUGGUGACCUUGAGUGCACACGAGGCAUGCGGAAUUUGUGGUGUAGCGGUGAAAUGCUUAGAUAUCACGAAGAACUCCGAUGGCGAAGGCAGCGUGCCGGAGUGCAACUGACGCUGAAGCUCGAAAGUGCGGGUAUCGAACA
Molecule: ribosomal RNA, 422 nt
Filed under: uncultured prokaryote
Description: bacterial SSU rRNA
Rfam family: Bacterial small subunit ribosomal RNA
Source: RNAcentral